This 253-nucleotide ribosomal RNA is filed under the name uncultured bacterium. RNAcentral's name for it is "partial 16S ribosomal RNA". It matches the Rfam family "Bacterial small subunit ribosomal RNA", at positions 524 to 776 of the family's 1533-position model. The record is from RNAcentral.
UACGUAGGGGGCAAGCGUUGCCCGGAUUUAUUGGGCGUAAAGAGCGUGUAGGCGGCCAGACAGGUCCGUUGUGAAAACUAGAGGCUUAACCUCUAGACGUCGAUGGAAACCGUCUGGCUAGAGUCCGGAAGAGGAGAAUGGAAUUCCUGGUGUAGCGGUGAAAUGCGCAGAUAUCAGGAAGAACACCCGUGGCUAAGGCGGUUCUCUAGUACGGUACUGACGCUGAGACGCGAAAGCGUGGGGAGCGAACAGG